CAAUAGAUGGUUCUAAACCAAAUUUAAUAAGAAAUGAGGAAGUCCAAAUUGGUCAUAUAAGAGCCCCCAUCGGAAAAAAUAAAACAAGACGGGAACAAGGCAUAUCUCUUAGACACAAGGAAGAAUCAGCCUCAUGUGGACAAGAAAAUCUCACAACCAAUGACAAACACACGCAUGCACAGACAGAAAAUCCAUCUAGUCUUAUUAAGGAGGAAUCCACCUCAUAUGAAGAAGGAAAUAUCAUAGACACUGACAUUUAUACAAACACUGAUCAAAUGCAGACGGAAAUUCAAUCUAUUUAUAUGAAGAAACAAUCCGUCUUUGGUGGAGAAGAAAAUCUCACAACCACUGACAAACACACACAUUUACAAACAGAAAAUCCAUCUACUAUUAUUAAGGAGGAAUCCACCUCAUAUGAAGAAGGAAAUCCAAUAGACACUGACAUUUAUACAAACGCUGAUCAAAUGCAGAUGGAAAUUCAAUCUACUUGUAUUAAAGAAGAAUCAGUGUAUGUGAGAUUUUCUUCUCCACAUAAGGCUGACAUUUAUACACCGACAGUACAGACAGAAAAUCCAUCUCUUCAUAUUCAGGAGGAACCAGCCUCAUGUGAACAGGGAAAGCUCACAGACACUGACAUUUAUAAACCCAGAGAACAUGUUCAAACAGAAUAUCCAUAUACUCUUAUUACAGAUGAAUCACCCUCAUGUGAAGAAGGAAAUGUGAAAGAUACUUGCAUUCAAACACUCCCUUGUUUUAUUGAAAUUCAAGAUGUAAUGAAUAGUAACCCUCAACAAGUAGUGAUUGAUUCUGGGACAAACAAUUCCAACUAUAACGCAAAUUUUGCUACACAUCACAAUCCACAUAUCAGACCUGACCAGACUUUUAAAAGAGAGAAACCCUUUUCUUGUUCUGAAUGCGGAAAAUCUUUCAAUCGUAAAGCAAAACUUGCACAUCAUAAGAUGAUUCAUACAGGAGAAAAACCGUUUUGUUGUUUAGAAUGUGGGAAAUGUUUUACUCAAAUGUCAUCGCUAAAUUCUCAUCAAAGGGUUCACACAGGAGAGAAACCAUUUUCUUGUUCUGAGUGCGGAAAAUGUUUUACUGAAAAAUCACAACUUACAGUUCAUCUGAAGAUGCACACAGAAGAGAAACAGUUUUGUUGUUUAGAAUGUCUGAAAUGUUACAAACACUUGUCAUCUCUAAGUUUGCAUCGAAGGGGUCACACAGGAGAGAGACCAUAUUCUUGUUCUGAGUGCGGUAAAAGUUUUGUUCAAAAAUCACACCUUAUGCAUCAUCUGAAGAUUCACACAGGAGAGAGACCAUUUUCUUGUUCUGAGUGCGGAAAAUGUUUCAUUUGUAAAUCACACCUUACAGCUCAUCUGAAGAUUCACAAAGGAGCGAAGCAGUUUUCAUUUUCUGAGCAAGGGAUUAAAAUGAGUACAAAGGUCUCUCUUAAAAAGCAUUUGGCAUCAUACAAGAAAUAAACAAUUUUCCUUUCCUGUGCAGAGCUCAAUUGAAAAAAUAAUAAAAAAUGAAUCAAAAAAUGUAUUUACGGCCUCAGUGUGUGCACACUCUGGAAGUCAAUAGUAGGCAUUAUAUAUGCAUAAUAAUUAGUUAGAUCUCACCCAUAUAUAUAGUUGGGGUAGAGUUGGAGCACGGUCUGUGGAUAAUCCUUCUGUAGAUGCUGCAGUAUGCAUGGCUCCAGGGCCAAGGUUCCUGUAACAGUGGUUAAUGCCUGCUCCUACGGGCGAUAUAUGGUUGCUCCUGAUACAAUGUACGGUCCAGGGUCUCUCCUGUGGUUGGUCG
Molecule: long non-coding RNA, 1803 nt
Filed under: Pelobates cultripes (western spadefoot toad)
Lineage: Eukaryota; Metazoa; Chordata; Amphibia; Anura; Pelobatidae
Source: RNAcentral